UGCCACCGUCCAAGCUUGCUCGGCCCUGGCCAGAUGAACCUCAGGAUUAAAGGGUGGGUCCAGUUCUGCGCAUACUGUGUCUCACCUAAAAAUCCACUGCGCAGGCUCGAAGGGGAAUCACCCUUCCCAAGUCUUCGUUCGCGAAGCCUAGCCAU
Neopelma chrysocephalum (saffron-crested tyrant-manakin) is the source of this 155-nucleotide long non-coding RNA. RefSeq lists it as uncharacterized. Lineage: Eukaryota; Metazoa; Chordata; Aves; Passeriformes; Pipridae. The transcript is spliced from 3 exons. The record is from RefSeq and is a predicted model, not a curated record.